RNAcentral lists this transfer RNA (70 nucleotides) under Barilius bendelisis (Hamilton's barila). RNAcentral describes it as "tRNA-Trp". It matches the Rfam family "tRNA". From Rfam's summary of the family: Transfer RNA (tRNA) molecules are approximately 80 nucleotides in length. Their secondary structure includes four short double-helical elements and three loops (D, anti-codon, and T loops). The record is from RNAcentral. Lineage: Eukaryota; Metazoa; Chordata; Actinopteri; Cypriniformes; Danionidae.
AGGGACUUAGGAUAACCCAGACCAAGGGCCUUCAAAGCCCUAAGCAGGGGUGAAAACCCCCUAGUCCCUG